Molecule: non-coding RNA, 507 nt
Organism: Gorilla gorilla gorilla (western lowland gorilla)
Lineage: Eukaryota; Metazoa; Chordata; Mammalia; Primates; Hominidae
Source: the annotation of a RefSeq genome assembly
AUGAAAGACCUGUGGUUCUUCCUCCCCCUGGUGGCAGCUCCCAGAAGGGUCCUGUCCCAGGUGCAGCUGCAGGAGUGGGGCCCAGGACUGGUGAAGCCUUCGGAGGCCCUGUCCCUCACCUGCGCUGUCUCUGGUGACUCCAUCAGCAGUGGUAACUGGUGGAGCUGGGUCCGCCAGUCCCCAGGGAAGGGGCUGGAAUGGAUUGGAUACAUCUAUUAUAGUGGGAGGAGCUACUACAACCCAUCCCUCAAGAGUCGAGUCACCAUGUCAGUAGACACGUCCAAGAACCAGUUCUCCCUGAAGCUGAGCUCUGUGACCGCCGCGGACACGGCCGUGUAUUACUGUGCGACCUCCUCCCCAGCACCUCAGCUGUCUCCAGGGCUCCUCUUUCUUUAUUAUCUGUGGUUCUGCUUCCUCACAUCCUUGUGGCAGGCAAGAAAGGAGGACGACAAGCCUGUUUUCCCCAAGUACAAAGAGCAGAAUAGACUUUCAGUGAAAUUUGGCUGA